RNAcentral lists this ribosomal RNA (422 nucleotides) under uncultured prokaryote. RNAcentral's name for it is "bacterial SSU rRNA". It matches the Rfam family "Bacterial small subunit ribosomal RNA", at positions 355 to 774 of the family's 1533-position model. The record is from RNAcentral.
UGAGGAAUAUUGGUCAAUGGGCGUAAGCCUGAACCAGCCAUCCCGCGUGAAGGAAGAAGGCGCUAUGCGUCGUAAACUUCUUUUCCAGAGGAAGAAAACCCCCGACGUGUCGGGGCUUGCCGGUACUCUGGGAAUAAGCAUCGGCUAACUCCGUGCCAGCAGCCGCGGUAAUACGGAGGAUGCGAGCGUUAUCCGUAUUUAUUGGGUUUAAAGGGUGCGUAGGCGGAUGGAUAAGUCAGCGGUGAAAACCUUCAGCUUAACUGGAGAAUUGCCGUUGAUACUGUGAGUCUUGAGUACGGUCAAGGUAGGCGGAAUGUGUAAUGUAGCGGUGAAAUGCUUAGAUAUUACACAGAACACCGAUUGCGAAGGCAGCUUACUGGACCAAUACUGACGCUGAGGCACGAAAGCGUGGGGAGCGAACA